UACGGGGGGGGCCAGCGUUGUUCGGAAUUAUUGGGCGUAAAGGGCGCGUAGGCGGCGUGGUAAGUCAGUUGUGAAAUCCCUCGGCUCAACCGAGGAAUUGCGUCUGAGACUGCCAUGCUUGAGUCCCGGAGAGGGUAGCGGAAUUCCCAGUGUAGCGGUGAAAUGCGUAGAUAUUGGGAGGAACACCAGUGGCGAAGGCGGCUACCUGGACGGGCACUGACGCUGAGGCGCGAAAGCGUGGGGAGCAAACAGGAUUAGAUACCCUGGUAGUCCACGCUGUAAACGAUGGGCACUUGGUGUUGCGGGUAUCGACCCCUGCAGUGCCGAAGCUAACGCAUUAAGUGCCCCGCCUGGGGAGUACGGUCGCAAGGCUGAA
Molecule: ribosomal RNA, 376 nt
Filed under: uncultured bacterium
Lineage: Bacteria
Description: bacterial SSU rRNA
Rfam family: Bacterial small subunit ribosomal RNA
Source: RNAcentral